UCCGUUCCCACAAGCCCACACACCGAGCCCAAGAGCCCAGGCAUUUAGCCCGAGGUGGCGGCGGCACCGCCCACAAUCUCCGCCAGCUCCUGGGUAAUCUUAGCCUGGCGCUGCUUGUUGUACUGCACGGUCAGGCCCUUCUUCAGCUCCUUGGCGUUGUCCGAGGCGUUGUUCAUGGCGUUCAUGCGGGCAGCCAGCUCGGAGGCCAGCGCCUCCUGCAGCGAGCGCAGCAGGCAGCUGCUCAUGUACAGGGGCAGCAGGGCGUCCAGGAUCUGGGCGGGCUCCUGCUCGAAGAUGAGCGAGGGGUCCAGGGCCUCGGUCUCGAUGGUGGUCUUCUCGCGCUCCACGGCGAACUCGCCGCCCUUGGUGGUCAGCUUGAAGAUCUCGUCGUCAGCGGCGUCCACGCACUUGCCGUCCACGUCGCACAGCUCGCCCAUGGGGGUCAUGGGCAGCAGGGUCUGGAUGGUGGGGUUCGAGUUGAUCAGCGAGAUGAACUUGGUGAACACCAGCUCCACCUUGUCCGACUCCUGAGCAAUGAACGAGGCGAAGAUCUCGUCAGCAAUGCCCUGGGCCUCCUUGGUCGAGGGAGCAGCGCCCAGCGAGAAGGACUCUGCGGGCGGAACAACGAGCGGCGACGGGGAAUGCGUUCAGGGAGCCGAUGGAGGUUGGAAAGCGAGGGGUUGUGCAUGUGCCGCGUAUGGAGCUGAGGGCUGGCCACGUCCCUCAGAACCCGAAGCUGAGCGCUGGGAGUUGAUGUGCCCCGGCACCAGAAAGAUGCCGGUCUCGCCCGACUGAGACCGGCUCCAACUGACAGCUUUCAACCUAGCAGAGAACGCCAUGCUUAUGCUGAAAAUUCUGGUUGUUCUGCUGGCUUUUGUUGCGGCGACUGCGCUGCGAUAGCACCAUACCCUGCCAACCGCAACCACGCUGACUGGUCAGCAAGGCCACGGUCCGCGCCGGCGACAGCAGCCCAUGUCCGCUUUCACAUCCUGCAGCGGCCUGAUCCAGCUGCAACGCCAGCUCGCCACUCCGUACGUGCAAGCACAGGACUACUGCCGCUCCAAAGUGGCUGGGCGGCCAGUGCUGCGUGUCCAGCGCCAGAGCUCCGCACGCUGCUGCGUGUGUUCGGCCGCCGAGCCCUCCGAUUCCAUGCGAUUCCCUUUCAAUGCGUCUGUGCUUGUUGCGCCACAGAUUCACAUCAUCAGGCCACCGCACGUUCGCCGACACCCACACCACAUCCGCCAGGACCUCCCCGCAACACCCCCUUCCUCCCUGCCAAGCCCCACCACUCCCAACCCUGCGACGCUCCGCGACUCACUGACGAUGUUGUACUGCUUCCGGCGGGCGAAGUACUGAGCACCCUUGCGGCCCACGCACACCAGGUUGACCUUCACGCCCAUAGCGGUAAGCUCGCGGUAGCGGGCCUCGGUCUGCGUUGCACAGGGAGUUCCGUCAAUGACCCUGGAAACACUUGUGGUCAUGGACUUAUCUACAGCUACCCUUCCGUGCUCUGGUAUAACGCCAGCAGGGCCUGACCGCGGGUCGGGCGCAUCACCACCAUCCAAACCAAAGCGACGAGCGUGUGCCCCUCGCUGAUCAGCUAUUCGGCUCGUAGUUGCUGAUUUACACGAACGCUCUCAACCACGUCUCCAGUGCGUGUAUUCGUGACCCAGAAACGUGGUGGAUGCGCUGCGCACCUUCUUGAUGAUGAAGUUGUUGUAGCCGCCGCACAGACCGCGGUCGCCGGUCAGCACAACCAGCAGCACCGACUUGACGGGGCGGACAGCGCACAGGGGCGAGUCCACAUCCUCCUGGCGGACGCGCUGGUUCACGCCGUAGAGGACCUGCGCGACCGAAACAGCCCCGUUAAAUCCCAGCCCGAAGUGCUUUGGGAACCUGUAUAGAUCGUCUUGCUUUGGCGCAGCCGCGAUGGCCCAGCGCCUGCUCAUCGACCGUGCAAGCGGUCCGAAUUGCGCGACCCCAGCCCCCCCGCGCACCUUGACCAGGUUCUCCGAGAAGGGGCGGCCGUUCACCACAGCCUCCUGAGCACGGCGGACCUUAGCGGCAGCCACCAGCUUCAUGGCAUCGGUGAUCUUCUGGGUGUUCUUCACCGAUGCGAUGCGAUCGCGGACCUCCUUCAGGCCGGCCACCACCUAUAGCGGAAACGGGCAUAUUGCUGGUAAGUCCAUCUGCCGGAUUUCAGCGGUGUGGGCCCCCUAACACGGCGAGCGCAGUCACCUGCAGGGAGCCGCGGCUGGCGACGCCCUUGGGGGCGGGGGCAAAGGAGCUGCGGCCCAUGAAGGCGCCCUGCUUAGAGGCGAGCAUAGCGGCCAUUUUUGUCCCUAGAAAGAGCGGCGAACAAGGUGCAAGGAAAGGCGCAGUUCAAGGCUUCACUUGCGCACUUGGCACCCAGGACUUAUCACUCCAGGGGGGCCAAUUGGGUUUGCCUCCGAUUUUGCCCACCAGAACGCCGUCGAGUAGAUCUUCGUCAAAUCACAAGCAUACCCGGCAUAAAAUUACGCUUAUAGAAUGCAGGAGCCUGGGAGUAGCUUGCACGAGGAGAGAUUGUGGCGCAAGCGCUGCUGCGGGGAGUCCUCUGAGGCCGCGUGACCUCGGCUUUAAGGUUUACAUGCAGUGGUUUGAUGUAAGGCGUGCUCACCGGUAGCGCCCGCCUCACCAUUGCCAAUCAGGUUGCGCCGAUGUUUCGCGCGCGUGCGGCGAGGGUCGCCCAACACUGGGGCGAUUGCCAAAAUGUGCUGUAUGAACGACCCAUAUUACAGGGCAAAGCAGAGGAUGUCGCCUCAAGUGCAGUCGGCUGUCGGCGAAGACGAAUGGGCGCGCAAGGCGGAGACGAGCCGUCGCUACCCGUCGCUACCCACCAGCCCUCGACGAGCCACCCCCCGGGCCCAACCGCGUGUGUGGAGCAGGUUUCAGAGGCUGGGUUGCUCCCGUCCGUUGUUGUGGGGGUGGGUGCAGGAACUGCGCGGCGUUGCGCUGCCUCGCUGCCUUGCUGAAAGCGCCGGCGCUGCCGCAGCACCUGCUGUGCAGCCAGGCGGCGGGGGAGAUGGAGGAGGCGUAUAUGGCUAGAUAGCUUUGUACGCACGCCGUCCGCCUGAAGUCCGUCGACGAGGGGAGGCUGCUUCGGCGGCCAAUAGCCCCCAUACACCCAAGCUACCGGUACACCAAAGCGAGCAGCCCACCCGCGAGCAGACUGUCACUUUCCGGCUGACCGGGGGCUCUCGUGUUCCCGCACGAAGCCAGAAUGCGGUUGGUCUACGCCUAGAUCGGACGGUGUAAGGGGACUCGCGCUGAACGCACCGCAGGUCGGAGUGUCUGACCGAUUGACAGCGUAGUCGUGUUCCGUGACCCGCAGGGAUUUGGGGGCACAAGUCAUGAUACAGGUCACGGUGUUAACCGGUGGUGUUACACCUCUCUUGCUUAGGACCGCCCCUAUCAUGCUCGGUUGGCGAUGACCUAGCCCUCCAUCAGUCUGCCCCCCUCGGCACCCUAAUCGCAUCUAGGAUAACCGCCAUCCAUGGUUCCUAGAACACAAUACGGAGGUACUGCAAUAUGCAUACCAACAACAGUUGCGAUUAUAAGUUAGGUGGGGCAGACCCCUGGUACACUGCCUGGAGCUGCGCCAGUGUUGCCUGGUAAGCCCGCUGCACAGCGUCCCCUUGGCUGCCAGCCGCCAAUGCUACUGCCGGUGCGCCUACAGUGCUACUGCCGCCGCCCACACCGCCCGAGCCGAAGGCUGGCAUCAUGCCGGGAAAGGACAGGGGCUGCUGCUGCUGCUGCUGCCGGUACGGCGACAGGGAUGCCGCCUGCUGUGGCGCAGCCUGCAGCUGCAGCUGUGGCGCAGGCGGGGCGUGCUGUGGGGCAUGUGGCGCAGGCAUGUGGCCGCCCCCGUACGGCCACGCGCCCGGCGCCACCGAGCCGGCGGGCGACAUCAGCUGCAUGCCGGGCCCGGCAGCGGCAGCCGCAGGGGCGUAGCCCGGCGGCGCCAUUGCGGGUGGAGAGGCACCAUUGGCGCCGGUGGGAGGCAGCUGGAAGAACUGCUGCGGCGCCGAGUACAGGUAGUGACCACUGACUUGCUGCUGCGGCUGCAGCUGCUGCGGCUGUAGCUGUUGCUGCUGUUGCUGUGGUGGCUGCAUCAAGGGCGCGUGCGGCGCGUAUGGCGACAUGGGCUGUGAUACACCGGCCGGCGGCGCGUACGCAGGCGCAUGAACGGCUGCCGAGCCGCCACCGUAAGGCGGAGAAUAGGGUGGCACUGGAUGGUGGUGGCGGGGCGGCGGGUGCCCUGGGCUGCGAGGUUGGUGUUGAUGCUGGGUUUGGUGCGCGCCGUGUGAGGGCGAAUGCGGCAGGACGGACAGCCCUCCUGCAGAGGCGCCAGGAUACGCUGGAGCCCCCGGCGAGGCAGGGUGAGACUGCGGGUGGUAGCCUUGGUAGGGCUGAGGUGCGGGCAUGGAUUGGGGAUGCUGUGCAACCAGCGGUGGCGCCGCCAGUUCGGUUCCGGCCGGGCCGUAGCUUGCGGCUCCAGCGGCGGCUGCAGUGACUGCAGGCGCAGUGGAGGGCCUGGGGAAGAGGCGAUUGGCAGCCGCGCCGUGCUCUUGCCCUGCAGGCGCCAGCUGCUGGUGCUGCGGUGGUGCGUGCUGCGGCCGUACUGCAGCAGCGCUACCUGCGGCACCGGCUGGCGGCUGCCGGUGAGGCGAGAAGGUCAGCUCCGCCAAACCCGCAUUCAACGACGCCUCGCUGCCGUCUGCCGACGCGGCAUCACCCCUGCGGCUGCCCGCAUCGAGGUAGCCAGGCCGCUUGUGCUCCCCACCACCUCGCGCUCGGCCCGACUGCUGCUGCUGCUGCUGCUGCUGUUCCCACUGCUCCUGGCGCCGGCCGUGGUGGUCGCUCUCGCGCCUACCCAUGCUGCCUGCAACGCUGCCCGCUAUGCUGCUGCGCACACUGCGCUGCCCAGCCUCCUCAUCAGCCUCCCGGGCCCGGUCGCGCCCUGGGCGGCCCUCAUGGUCGCGAUGACCGCGGUCCCGCCCCGACCGCUCACCACGCACCCGCUCCUCCUCGCGUGCCACUCGGCGAUCCUGCGACCCCGCCGCCUCAGUAGGGUCGUCAGCCCUCCGAGAGCUGCUGCUCACGCGGCGGCUGCCGCCGCCGCCACCGCCACCGCCGCCGCCACCACCGCCGCCACCACCGUGAGCGCUACCAGCGCCGCUGACGCGGCUGCUGCCAGGCUGCGCCCGGCGAUCCGAGUUAAUGGACUGCGUGUCAAAAUGCAGACGCCGCGAAGCGCCGCUGCUGGCCGCCGGCGGCCUUCCUGACCGACCUGACCGCGGCGGCGACGGCGGCGGCGAGGCCGCUGCUGUCACCGCCGCAGCCGCCGCCAGGUCUGCCACCGCAUCGGCGGCUGCGCCCCGCAGCCGCAACAGGUCUUCUGUCAGUGCACUCACAGCCACAUCCAGGACGGAGCCACCAUCGCCGUCGCCGUCGCGGCCACUCAGCAUCGGCCUGCCACCGCCCGAGCUGCGGCGAGCACGCUCAUAGUCGCCCAGCUCCUGCGCCGGCACAGCACCGUGGCUGCCGUCACUGCGGGGCGAUGAAGCGGCUGCUGCUGCCGCCGCUGUCGCAGCCGCUGCCGCAGCCGUUGCGCCGACUGCGUCUCUGUACACUGAUGUGGUUGCAUGGUGUGCAGCCGCAGCCUGUGCUGCGGAGCGGGCUAGGUCCGCAGAGCCAGGGUACACCUCCGUCAUGUGCACCGAUAGCCGGCACGGCAGGCCCUCGCCGGGCAUGGGCCCGCCAUUGGCCACGGCCAUGCCACCCGCGGUGCCGGGCAUGGGCUGCCCUGCCGCUGUCCAGGCGCCUACGCCCUGCCCGGCGUAGGAGGCUGCAGGUGCCGCCAGAUAUGCCGGGUUGCAAGUCGGCAGGUUCUGAAGCGCUGUGCCGCUGGCGCCGCCCGCCGGCAGCGCCCCUUGCACCGCCACGAGCGUAGGCGGCGCCGGCGGCGCCAAGCCCGGGAAGCCGGCCAGCAGUGAGCCAGUCCCGGCAGUGGGCGCCGCCGGCGUCCCUAGCGCGACCACGGACGCGGUCCCGUGUGGGAGGCUUGCGCCGCUCAUGGAGGCGGUGCCGGGGAGCGCCGAGCCCAGGGUGGACGCGGCCGGCGGCUGUAGCACGGCUGCGGCUGUCAGGGGCUGCUGCAGCAGCGUGCCGUCGGACAGCAUCACGGGCGGCAGCUGCACUGGCCGCGCAAUCCAUGGGUCGCCCGGGGCCGCGGCGGGCAUGGCGCCGCCCGUGCCGGCCCCGUACAAGCCACCGCUGAAGCCGCCCAGCUGGGGCAGCAGCGACAUGCCUGCUAGGGUCGCCGGCAUCGCCCCGGGACGGAGCGGGUCGAGGCCGAAGCCUGGCGAGGCAAGCCCACCUGCCAGCGUGGCGUCCGAAACAGGGAUGCUGGUGCCGCCCGCGCCCACGUCGGCUCCCGUGCCUGGCGCUGUUGCGACGCCUGAGGUCCGGUCCAGGUAGUCGCGGACCGCCAUAUCCAGCUGCAGUCAUAGGAGAGACAGCCCGAUGCAAUGCAGAGCAGCGGUGUAAGGUAAGCGACAGGAAACGACGUCAACAGCAGCGCCUGGCUAUGCAGGGCAGGCAUUUGACACGCCGCCAGAUUUCACAGGCACGGCUACGGAGCUGCCGGGGGGUGUCUUGCGUCGUCCUACCUUGGCGGACACCUGUCGCGCCGCCUGUGUAAUGGCACUGACGGACGCCUCCCGUGUGCCCGGAGUGUCCAGUGAGCCGCGUAUGGCGCUGGCCACGCCUGUGCAGAGGUGCAGGGGCAGGGCGCGUUGUAGUGGAGGCGCGGGCAGAACUCGGAGGCAGCGCGUGGGAGCUGAGGCAGAGGCAGGCGUUGGCAUUACACCUCAAGGCAUGAACGGACGGAAGGAGUGCACCGGCUGCUCUUUGGAACACAGAGGAAGGCCUGUCUUCAAGUCACUUUGCCAUGCCGGCGAACACCGCACGAAACGCUGCCCACGGCACCACGCAGACGCCCCACUCACCCGCCACCUGGUGUGCGAGCAGCUCCGCCGCCACGCCGCCGGCAGCAGGCAGCGUGGCGGCCGCCGCGCCGUCGGGUCCGCCGCCGUGCAGCGCCGCCGUCACGUCCGCCUCCACCUGUUGGCGGCGGCCCGGGUCCAGCAGGCUGGUCCACCAGGUGGGGCUCAGCAGGUCGGAGGCGGGCGGAGCGCCGCCGUACAGCCUGUGGCGGGCGCCCCAGGGGUCGUUCAGGUGGAUUUAGGUGGGGUUGGGCGAGAGCAUGAGGGUGGGCACACACACAGGUGGGCACGGUGUUGUUGAUGCGUGUUUGGGGGCGAAUGAGGAGUUGCAGGCAUGGACU
This 7390-nucleotide long non-coding RNA is filed under the name Chlamydomonas reinhardtii. RNAcentral describes it as "long non-coding RNA (CREI_LNC000489)". Lineage: Eukaryota; Viridiplantae; Chlorophyta; Chlorophyceae; Chlamydomonadales; Chlamydomonadaceae. The record is from RNAcentral.